AGCUGGUUCGAAGAUAGUGUUAUCUCAAUUAAUUGUUCACAGUCAGUUACAGAUCAAACUCCUUGUUCUACUCUUUCCCCCUUUCUCACUACUGCACUCGACUAGUCUAGA
Nomascus leucogenys (northern white-cheeked gibbon) is the source of this 111-nucleotide unclassified non-coding RNA. It matches the Rfam family "Y RNA". From Rfam's summary of the family: Y RNAs are components of the Ro ribonucleoprotein particle (Ro RNP), in association with Ro60 and La proteins. The record is from Ensembl. NCBI's taxonomy places the organism in Eukaryota, Metazoa, Chordata, Mammalia, Primates, Hylobatidae.